This 1520-nucleotide long non-coding RNA is filed under the name Homo sapiens (human). RNAcentral's name for it is "HSALNT0354852". Lineage: Eukaryota; Metazoa; Chordata; Mammalia; Primates; Hominidae. The record is from RNAcentral.
UGCACCACACGCACCACACCACACACACACACAUACACACACACGAGCAGAGCAAGGGACAGCCAUGUUGUGUGAUCUGGGAGGGUGGCUCAUCCUCUCUGAGUUGUUUAUAAACCGGGCGGGACCCAGGCCUGCCAAUCAAAGGCCUGAUCUGAAUGCUCUUAUUGGUUCAGAGAUGGACAUGUGACCCUCUCUUGGCCAAUCAGAGGCUUUCCUGCUGGAAGGGCUGCUGGAAGCCAUCUUCGCACGGUUCUUCCCUUGGCUUUAGAGCCCCGAAGCGCUCUUUGACUUGAGCUGCUUUGCAUUCUCUCUGUCCUGCCAUCGAGAAAGUUCUGAGCGGCUCAGAAGUAAUACUGACACUAUCAACGGAGGGGGACUGCAGUUUCGCUGGUGGCCCCACAGCCCCCUGCCUCCAGCCAGGGGACAAAGAACAGGAGGGAUCCAGAGGGCUGCCUGCACCUGCACCUCCCGCUCCUGCUGUGCCCUGAUCCCAUGUGCUGGGUGAACUGGGUUCUUCCGAGCCCUCCAGCCCUGGAUGCUAACCCCAGAGCUGCAAGGUGAGGGGCACCUACGCCGGCAGCCAUUCCCCAUGGGAGGGGCAGUGCUGGAGGUGCCCUGGGUGACCAGGACGGGCCGCCGCCCCUCUGCUGGCCUUAGUGCCCUUGUCUGUGAAAUGGGGCGAGCAGUUCCUCUCUCAGAGCUGCUGCGAGGACUGAGUCUCUCUGAGCUCAGGAUUUUCCUCUCUCUGAGCUCCAAAACCACGGGCAAAUCACACCCUCUCACUCUCAGCUUCCUGAUCUACAAGACAGGGAUGGUGAUAGAGUACUCAACUCCUAGGGCAGUUGUGGGGCAUGUGAAGCAUUCAGCCCAGGGUCUGGCACCCUGAAAGGGCCAAACCUGUGUGAGCCACAGUUUUAUGGUUGAUCAUCAAUGCCUGUCUAAGAAAGCCCCAUUCAGCUUGAACCCAGCUCUCCAGGAAGAGCUCACUGACACCCUCCUCACACACCCCAAUCGGCCGUCUUUAUUCAUCCCCAAAAGUGAUGUACAAGGAAUGAGUCUUUGGGGGUGUGUCCGUCAUCACCCACUGGGGCUGCUUGUGUCUCCAGCUAUCCCUCCGAGGAAUUCUGCCCCAGACAGCAGAGAGAUGGGGGGCAGGGGACACAUGGCCAUGAGGACAGAGAGCCCUGAGAGGGACUGGGGAAUCGAGACAUCGUUUUCAAAUAAUUGCAGCAAUCAAGAGAGACUGUACAUCCCAUCCCAGACAAAGGGAGACCUGUGAGUCCUGAGUGAGGCAAAAUUUGACUUGAAACAAGUAGCUUGGGCAGGGAGGUGAGCGCUCUGCCCACAGGGAGGAGGUGGAUGAUGAAAGAAAGCGCCGUGGCGAACUCGGUUCUUUGCAAGGGUGCAUCUUUUUGUUGUCUAGGCUGUUGAAAAAUGUGCUCUUUCCUCAUCAGAAAAUGAGAGAAUGGAGCUGGGCGCAGUGGUUCACGCCUGUAAUCCCUGCACUUUGGGAGGCCGAG